CGGAUAGAAGCAUAAUAGGAGAUGUGUCUGCUUUGGGUGCAGAAGUAAGUUAGUUCGAAUCUGACCUAUCCGA
Molecule: transfer RNA, 73 nt
Filed under: Pneumocystis oryctolagi
Lineage: Eukaryota; Fungi; Ascomycota; Pneumocystomycetes; Pneumocystales; Pneumocystaceae
Description: tRNA-Pro
Rfam family: tRNA
About the family: Transfer RNA (tRNA) molecules are approximately 80 nucleotides in length. Their secondary structure includes four short double-helical elements and three loops (D, anti-codon, and T loops). Further hydrogen bonds mediate the characteristic L-shaped molecular structure. tRNAs have two regions of fundamental functional importance: the anti-codon, which is responsible for specific mRNA codon recognition, and the 3' end, to which the tRNAs corresponding amino acid is attached (by aminoacyl-tRNA synthetases). tRNAs cope with the degeneracy of the genetic code in two manners: having more than one tRNA (with a specific anti-codon) for a particular amino acid; and 'wobble' base-pairing, i.e. permitting non-standard base-pairing at the 3rd anti-codon position.
Source: RNAcentral